This 784-nucleotide ribosomal RNA is filed under the name Rhynchophorus cruentatus (sabal weevil). RNAcentral describes it as "eukaryotic LSU rRNA". It matches the Rfam family "Eukaryotic large subunit ribosomal RNA", at positions 406 to 944 of the family's 3401-position model. Lineage: Eukaryota; Metazoa; Arthropoda; Insecta; Coleoptera; Curculionidae. The record is from RNAcentral.
CGUUUAGGGGUAAACCUGAGAAACCCGAAAGGUCGAAGGGAGAAAUUCAUUCGCGGCUCGUAGUAGGCGGCGUGCGAUCGCGUGACACGUGACGUUUCGGCGUUGCGCGCGCCUUUCGUACGUCGAUCCGGCGACGAACGCGUGCACUUUUCUCCUUGUAGGACGUCGCGAUCCGUUGGGCGUCGGCUUAAGGCUCGAGGUGGAGACCGUAGACUGCGGUUCGCGCCGUUUUCGUUUACGGACCCUCGUGUUCGCGGUCGACUCGCUCGACGGUAUACCGAAUGGUUUAAGGCCGCUACUCGUUAGCGUUCGGCUCGUCGCAAGCGCGUCAGAUGCACGUCGGUAAUCGGACCCGGUGCCGUUUCCGACCUCUGAUGACUGUUGGCGACGAGGUUCUCGAACAGACCUAGACCGAUCGGCGACGCUAUAGCUUUGGGUACUUUCAGGACCCGUCUUGAAACACGGACCAAGGAGUCUAGCAUGUGCGCGAGUCAUUGGGAAUCACUAAACCUAAAGGCGUAAUGAAAGUGAAAGUUCGUCUCGCACGAACUCAGGGAAGAUGGGCGGUUUACCCUUAAAAGUGGCCGCUCCGCAUUCCCGGGGCGUCUCGUUCUCAUCGCGAGAAGAGGCGCACCAAGAGCGUACACGCUGGGACCCGAAAGAUGGUGAACUAUGCCUGGUCAGGACGAAGUCAGGGGAAACCCUGAUGGAGGUCCGUAGCGAUUCUGACGUGCAAAUCGAUCGUCGGAACUGGGUAUAGGGGCGAAAGACUAAUCGAACCAUC